RNAcentral lists this ribosomal RNA (274 nucleotides) under uncultured bacterium. Its description in RNAcentral is "partial 16S ribosomal RNA". It matches the Rfam family "Bacterial small subunit ribosomal RNA", at positions 523 to 796 of the family's 1533-position model. The record is from RNAcentral.
AUACGGAGGGUGCAAGCGUUAUUCGGAAUCACUGGGCGUAAAGGACGCGUAGGCGGGUUGGCAAGUCAGAUGUGAAAUCCUACAGCUUAACUGUAGAACUGCAUUUGAAACUGCUAACCUAGAGUAUGGGAGGGGGAGAUGGAAUUAGUGGUGUAGGGGUAAAGUCCGUAGAUAUCACUAGGAAUACCGAAAGCGAAGGCGAUCUCCUGGAACAUAACUGACGCUAAGGCGUGAAAGCGUGGGGAGCAAACAGGAUUAGAAACCCUAGUAGUCC